UUGAUUGAGUUAAAGUUCGGCGACAGGUUACUAUUCUUUUAAACAAUCAAAGUUGUUAGAAUAAAGGAAAAAGUGAAAAUCUUUUGGCAGACCAGUUUGAUAUAUCUAGAGCCAUUAUGUCAGAUUCAGUUAGUACGGAGUCAAAAAAGGAAUCUGUGAACUUCCUUGAUGAUUCCGAAUCGUCUUCCAACAGCAAGCUUCUCAAGACUCCAACCAUGAGCAUGCGUAAUAGAAGACGUUCUUCUUUUGUGAAACUUACAGCAUCCCAAACAGAAAUGCUUCGUCAUAGGCGUAUGACGAGAGCCGGACUUUCAGAUUUAGCCGAGGAAAAACCAGAUGACAAACCAAAAAUUAAAUUGGAGAAUACUUUCAAAA
Long non-coding RNA from Mytilus californianus (California mussel), 375 nucleotides. RefSeq lists it as uncharacterized. The record is from RefSeq and is a predicted model, not a curated record. NCBI's taxonomy places the organism in Eukaryota, Metazoa, Mollusca, Bivalvia, Mytilida, Mytilidae. The transcript is spliced from 3 exons.